Molecule: transfer RNA, 65 nt
Filed under: Panulirus argus (Caribbean spiny lobster)
Lineage: Eukaryota; Metazoa; Arthropoda; Malacostraca; Decapoda; Palinuridae
Description: tRNA-Phe
Source: RNAcentral
ACUCGUAUAAUUUAAUCAUUAGAAUGUUGCAUUGAAGCUGCAAACGAGGUUAGUUUACCUGCGGG